GACGAACGCUGGCGGCGUGCUUAACACAUGCAAGUCGAACGGAAAGGCCCUGCUUGCAGGGUGCUCGAGUGGCGAACGGGUGAGUAACACGUGGGUGAUCUGCCCCUUACUUUGGGAUAAGCUUGGGAAACUGGGUCUAAUACUGGAUAGGACCAUGCUGUAGGUGGUGUGGUGGAAAGAUUAGUUUCGGUAAGGGAUGAGCUCGCGGCCUAUCAGCUUGUUGGUGGGGUAAUGGCCUACCAAGGCGUCGACGGGUAGCCGGCCUGAGAGGGUGGACGGCCACAUUGGGACUGAGAUACGGCCCAGACUCCUACGGGAGGCAGCAGUGGGGAAUAUUGCACAAUGGGCGCAAGCCUGAUGCAGCGACGCCGCGUGGGGGAUGACGGCCUUCGGGUUGUAAACUCCUUUCAGCCAUGACGAAGCCCUUGUGGUGACGGUAGUGGUAGAAGAAGCACCGGCUAACUACGUG
This 469-nucleotide ribosomal RNA is filed under the name uncultured bacterium. Its description in RNAcentral is "partial 16S ribosomal RNA". It matches the Rfam family "Bacterial small subunit ribosomal RNA", at positions 28 to 507 of the family's 1533-position model. The record is from RNAcentral.